UGCAAACUCUGUAAGGGAUCUGGUCUCC
Molecule: small RNA, 28 nt
Filed under: Bombyx mori (domestic silkworm)
Lineage: Eukaryota; Metazoa; Arthropoda; Insecta; Lepidoptera; Bombycidae
Description: ovarian small RNA-33251
Source: RNAcentral